RNAcentral lists this ribosomal RNA (400 nucleotides) under uncultured bacterium. RNAcentral describes it as "bacterial SSU rRNA". It matches the Rfam family "Bacterial small subunit ribosomal RNA", at positions 356 to 773 of the family's 1533-position model. The record is from RNAcentral.
GGGGAAUAUUGGACAAUGGGCGAAAGCCUGAUCCAGCCAUGCCGCGUGAGUGAUGAAGGCCUUAGGGUUGUAAAGCUCUUUCAGUGGGGAAGAUAAUGACGGUACCCACAGAAGAAGCCCCGGCUAACUUCGUGCCAGCAGCCGCGGUAAUACGAAGGGGGCUAGCGUUGUUCGGAUUUACUGGGCGUAAAGCGCACGUAGGCGGAUUGGUCAGUUAGGGGUGAAAUCCCGGAGCUCAACUCCGGAACUGCCUUUAAUACUGCCAGUCUAGAGUCCGGAAGAGGUGAGUGGAACUCCUAGUGUAGAGGUGGAAUUCGUAGAUAUUAGGAAGAACACCAGUGGCGAAGGCGGCUCACUGGUCCGGUACUGACGCUGAGGUGCGAAAGCGUGGGGAGCAAAC